RNA transcript from Hemicordylus capensis (graceful crag lizard), 2756 nucleotides. It is a transcript of the gene named disintegrin and metalloproteinase domain-containing protein 29-like, with no coding region annotated. NCBI's taxonomy places the organism in Eukaryota, Metazoa, Chordata, Lepidosauria, Squamata, Cordylidae. The transcript is spliced from 22 exons. The record is from RefSeq and is a predicted model, not a curated record.
GAAACAUCAAAAUAUCUUUACUCUGAAGUCAUAGUGCCCAAGCUGCUCAGACAGCAACCUGGCUUCCACACGGAGAAUGAAGUGUCCUAUCUAGUCCAAACUGAAGGCAUUAACAGGAUUAUUCACCUUCAACAGCAAUCGAAGCAGCCAGGUCGGGCAAGGAUCCAGAGAACAAGUGGUAGGCCAUACCGCUCCAAGCAGCUUGUCCACGUCAUCAGGAGUCACAGAUUGAAACUGAUCCAACCUAACACUGCAAGAGGGAUCGCGGGACACCUUCCUCACAGACCAGGCAAUACUUUAUAAUUCGAAAUAUGCCUGUUUACUAUCUUAGUGUGAAAGGAGACAGACGGGUCGAGCAUCCAUAUAUCCGGGAUGACUGCUUUUAUAGUGGACAAGUGGAGAACACCCAGGACUCCGACGUGAUCCUCUCUACCUGCACUGGGCUUUGGGGAUAUAUACAGGUUGGAAGUUUAAAGUACGAAAUACGCCCUGUUGAGAAUUCCUCUGCAUUUCAACACCUCAUUUAUCGAACGGCUCCAGAGCAGCAGGAACCGUGCCAAGGAAAUCUUGCAGACCAAGACCAGCUGGAAAGGAAUGAGCCAGAACUGAGACCAGGGGGGGACACCAGGAACCCAGCCACAGAACCCUCCUACAGGAGAAACGAGUACCCUGGAGGUGAUGCAUCGGCGUACAGAUACCUAGAGUAUUAUGCUGUGUGCGACCAAUCCAUGUAUCAGUGGGAAAAGAAUAAUGAAACUCGUGUGAUUCUGCUGAUUUUUCAGAUCAUGUCUAUUGUUCACAAUAUAUACGACGAUGUGGAUCUUCUUGUAAUUCUGGUAGGAAUUGAAUUGUGGACCAAGCAAGAUUACUCGCCAGUUAGUGAGACCCUGGAUAAAACUCUGGAGGGGUUUCACGGCUAUGCUGCCCAUGAGCUUCGGCACCAUGUGCAUUUUGACCACGCUUGUCUAUUCACAUUUAAAGGCAAGGACUUUGGAAAGUCGUGGGGAGGACGUUUUUGUCUUUAUAACCAUGCCUCCAUUUCUGCUGUCAAGGCUUCCUCUUCAGCAACGAAUGACGGCGUGUCUGCUGCGCACAAGCUAGGCCACAGCAUUGGCUUUGUCCAUGAUGAUCUUCCAGGACAGAAGAGCAGACGCUGUGACUGUGACUGCACCGCAAAGCCAGGCCACUGCCUCAUGUUUUCAGGUGUCGCAGAAUGUCAUCGAUUGAGUAACUGCAGCAAAGAUGUGUAUUAUGAAUUCUUAGAAGGGCCAGGAACAGUCUGUCUACUGAACAGACCUCAUGUGAUGUUUGAGAUGAAGACCUGUGGAAAUGGCAUAGUGGAAGGAGAUGAAGAGUGUGACUGCGGGAGAACUGAGGCGUGCCGAAAGAAUGGCUGUUGCUUGGAGAGCUGUACUUUGAAAACAGGCACUGAAUGUCUCCGUGGACCCUGCUGUGACAAAUGUCAGUUUGCACAGGAAGGAAGAGUUUGCAGAGAACCGGCUUCUGAAUGCGAUCUCCCCGAAUACUGCAGUGGGACCUCUGAAGAGUGCCCAUCAGAUAUGUACAUCCAAGAUGGGAUGCCAUGCGGCACCCGUGAGAAUUGCUAUAUGGGGAAGUGCCUUAACCUCCACCAACACUGCAAAAAUCUCUUUGGACCAGAUGCAACAGAGGCUCCACUGAGUUGCUACAAGGAACUGAACACACGAGGUGACCAGACGGGCAACUGCGGACAGGACAGACUUGGGUACAAGAAAUGCAGAGAAGAGGAUGUCCUCUGUGGAAGGAUCCAGUGCACUAACAUUGAAAGACUCCCCCGGAUGGCGAGUGGCCAGGCCCUGGUUCAGACUCCGGUGGGCGGUGUCCUGUGUUGGAGCACAAAAGCUCACGAAGGGGAGGAUGCUGGAGCAAUAAAAGAUGGGUCGUCCUGUGGUGCUGGCAAGAUAUGCAUAAAUCGAUCAUGUGUUGAGCUGGAAGUUCUGAAUUUUGAUUGCAAUUUCUCAAAAUGUCACAACCGGGGGGUGUGCAAUAACCACAGGAAUUGCCACUGCACAUAUGGAUGGGCCCCUCCCAACUGUACUGGCCGAGGAUACGGAGGGAGUAUUGACAGUGGGCCUCCUCCGGAACGCAAGCUACCUAAACGCUAUUUAUUACUAGGCUCAAUGAUUGGAGUGGCUUUCCUUUUGAUGGCAGUCACUGCUGGCAUUAAGGACUAUCUGGCUGGGUGGGCUAGACUGUUCAGGAGAAAAGGAUCCCGCAUGGUUUCAUCUCCAGAAUAUACUGAGCACUUGAGAAACGAGGAAGGGAGGACCAAAAGGAAGGAAGCACCAUCCCUCCAUAAUGCUGUGGAGGAUCCUGCCUAGGCACGUUCCCAGCCCGGGGUGACGCACAAUGGGGUGGCCCUCUGUAUAAAAUGUGAACAGUGGCUUGCAUUCCCCUGCAGUUCUGGGCCAUUGCUGCUCAGGCAUGGAUGAUUUAUUCGGCAGAUGAUCUUUUUUUAAACCUGAAGGUCCUUGAGGUGCCCCAAGGAAGAGGAGGAGGAAGCGUGCCUCCCCUGCCGCCUUUGUGCCAGCCAUCCCACCCCAUGCUCCCUCCUCCUCCUCGGCCUAAUGAUCCCACGAUCCGCCUUUGAACCGCGCACUCUUUCUUUGAUGGUUGCAUACAGUUGUCACGGGUAGCUCCAUCCUUGUGCUCACAAUGACCAUGGUGGGAGUGGUCACUGCAGUUCCGAGAAUGAAAUAGACCGAUUAUCACCCUCA